This is a non-coding RNA of Callorhinchus milii (elephant shark), 82 nucleotides long. The record is from the annotation of a RefSeq genome assembly. Lineage: Eukaryota; Metazoa; Chordata; Chondrichthyes; Chimaeriformes; Callorhinchidae.
GUCCUGUGGAAUCCUGUAGCUCAGUGGUUAGAGCGCUCGCCUCGGAAGCGAGAGGACCCGGGAUCAAUUCCCAGACGGGUCA